AACGAACGCUGGCGGCGUGCCUAACACAUGCAAGUCGAACGAGAAUGCAGGCUUCGGUCUGCUAGUAAAGUGGCGCACGGGUGAGUAACACGUGGAUAACGUACAUUGUAGUGGGGGAUAACCAGGUGAAAGCUUGGCUAAUACCGCAUGAGUCUGUCGGGACGCAGGUUUUGACAGGGAAAGUGAGCAAUCACGCUACGAGAUCGGUCCGCGGCCCAUUAGCUAGUUGGCGGGGUAAUGGCCCACCAAGGCGACGAUGGGUAGCUGGUCUGAGAGGAUGAUCAGCCACACUGGAACUGAGACACGGUCCAGACUCCUACGGGAGGCAGCAGUGGGGAAUUUUGCACAAUGGGCGCAAGCCUGAUGCAGCGACGCCGCGUGAGGGAUGACGGCCUUCGGUUGGUAAACCUCUUUCAAUAGGACGAAGCGCAAGUGACGGUACCUAUAGAAGAAGCACCGGCCAACUACGUAGCCAGCAGCCGCGGUAAU
RNAcentral lists this ribosomal RNA (489 nucleotides) under uncultured bacterium. Its description in RNAcentral is "bacterial SSU rRNA". It matches the Rfam family "Bacterial small subunit ribosomal RNA", at positions 29 to 524 of the family's 1533-position model. The record is from RNAcentral.